RNAcentral lists this transfer RNA (75 nucleotides) under Chloroflexota bacterium. Its description in RNAcentral is "tRNA-Thr". It matches the Rfam family "tRNA". From Rfam's summary of the family: Transfer RNA (tRNA) molecules are approximately 80 nucleotides in length. Lineage: Bacteria; Bacillati; Chloroflexota. RNAcentral also lists the same sequence under 1 other name. The record is from RNAcentral.
GCCCGCAUAGCUCAGUGGUAGAGCGCGUUCUUGGUAAGAACGAGGUCAUGAGUUCAACUCUCAUUGCGGGCUCCA